AUUGAACGCUGGCGGCAUGCCUUACACAUGCAAGUCGAACGGUAACGGGCCUUCGGGUGCCGACGAGUGGCGAACGGGUGAGUAAUGUAUCGGAACGUACCUUUCAGUGGGGGAUAACGUAGCGAAAGUUACGCUAAUACCGCAUAUUCUGUGAGCAGGAAAGCAGGGGAUCGCAAGACCUUGCGCUGAUUGAGCGGCCGAUAUCAGAUUAGCUAGUUGGUGAGGUAAAGGCUCACCAAGGCGACGAUCUGUAGCGGGUCUGAGAGGAUGAUCCGCCACACUGGAACUGAGACACGGUCCAGACUCCUACGGGAGGCAGCAGUGGGGAAUUUUGGACAAUGGGGGCAACCCUGAUCCAGCCAGGCCGCGUGAGUGAAGAAGGCCUUCGG
Molecule: ribosomal RNA, 389 nt
Filed under: uncultured bacterium
Lineage: Bacteria
Description: bacterial SSU rRNA
Rfam family: Bacterial small subunit ribosomal RNA
Source: RNAcentral